UACGGGGGGAGCAAGCGUUGUUCGGAUUUACUGGGCGUAAAGGGCGCGUAGGCGGUCAGCACAAGUCAGUUGUGAAAUCUCCGGGCUUAACUCGGAAAGGUCAACUGAUACUGUGCGACUAGAGUGCGGAAGGGGCAACUGGAAUUCCUGGUGUAGCGGUGAAAUGCGCAGAUAUCAGGAGGAACACCAAUGGCGAAGGCAGCUCGCUGGGACGUGACUGACGCUGAGACGCGAAAGCGUGGGGAGCAAACAGG
Molecule: ribosomal RNA, 254 nt
Filed under: uncultured bacterium
Lineage: Bacteria
Description: partial 16S ribosomal RNA
Rfam family: Bacterial small subunit ribosomal RNA
Source: RNAcentral